ACUCCUACGGGAGGCAGCAGUGGGGAAUAUUGCACAAUGGGCGCAAGCCUGAUGCAGCCAUGCCGCGUGUGUGAAGAAGGCCUUCGGGUUGUAAAGCACUUUCAGUCGUGAGGAAGGCGGGUACGUAAUAGCGUAUUCGUUUGACGUUAGCGACAGAAGAAGCACCGGCUAACUCCGUGCCAGCAGCCGCGGUAAUACGGAGGGUGCGAGCGUUAAUCGGAAUUACUGGGCGUAAAGCGCAUGCUAGGUGGUUUGUUAAGUCAGAUGUGAAAGCCCGGGGCUCAACCUCGGAAUAGCAUUUGAAACUGGCAGACUAGAGUACUGUAGAGGGGGGUUAGAAUUUCAGGUGUAGCGGUGAAAUGCGUAGAGAUCUGAAGGAAUACCGGUGGCGAAGGCGGCCCCUGGACAGAUACUGACACUCAGAUGCGAAAGCGUGGGAGCAAACAGGAUUAGAUACCCCGUGGUAGGACAGUG
Molecule: ribosomal RNA, 474 nt
Filed under: uncultured bacterium
Lineage: Bacteria
Description: bacterial SSU rRNA
Rfam family: Bacterial small subunit ribosomal RNA
Source: RNAcentral